UCAAGUGACUAAGUGUAUGUGGUGGAUGCCUUGGCGAUCACAGGCGAAGAAGGACGUAGUAGCUUGCGAUAAGCUGCGGGGAGCCGGCAAACGGGCAUUGAUCCGCAGAUUUCCGAAUGGGGGAACCCACCGACGUAAGUCGGUAUCACACACUGAAUACAUAGGUGUGUGAGGCGAACGGAGCGAACUGAAACAUCUAAGUAGCUCCAGGAAAAGAAAUCAACCGAGAUUGCGAAAGUAGCGGCGAGCGAAAUCGCAGCAGCCCAGUGUUCUGAUAGCACGAACGACAGCAGAAAGGUCUGGAAAGGCCUGCUAUAGAGGGUGAUAGCCCCGUAUGCGAAAUCGGACGUGUGGUACUAAGGGACCGAUAAGUAGGGCGGGACACGUGACAUCCUGUCUGAAGAUGGGGGGACCAUCCUCCAAGGCUAAAUACUCGUGAUCGACCGAUAGUGAACCAGUACUGUGAAGGAAAGGCGAAAAGAACCCCGGGAGGGGAGUGAAAUAGAACCUGAAACCGCAUACAUACAAACAGUAGGAGCCCGUGUAGUCGGGUGACUGCGUACCUUUUGCAUAAUGGGUCAGCGACUUACGUUUUGUGGCGAGCUUAACCGAGUAGGGGAGGCGUAGCGAAAGCGAGUUCGAAUAGAGCGAGAAGUCUCAAGGCGUAGACCCGAAACCAGAUGAGCUAUCCAUGGCCAGGUUGAAGGUGUGGUAACACACACUGGAGGACCGAACCGACUAGUGUUGCAAAAUUAGCGGAUGAGCUGUGGAUAGGGGUGAAAGGCUUAACAAAUCUGGAGAUAGCUGGUUCUCCCCGAAAACUAUUGAGGUAGUGCCUCGUGUAUUGCUCCAGGGGGUAGAGCACUGUUAUGGCUAGGGGGACAUGGCGUCUUACCAAACCAUGGCAAACUCCGAAUACUUGGAAGUAAGAGCACGGGAGACAGAGCACCGGGUGCUAACGUCCGGACUCAAGAGGGAAACAACCCAGACCGCCGUUUAAGGUCCCAAAUAUUGACUAAGUGGAAAACGAAGUGUGAAGGCUAAGACAGUCAGGAAGUUGGCUUAGAAGCAGCCAUCCUUCAAAGAAAGCGUAAUAGCUCACUGAUCGAGUCCUCAUGCGCGGAAGAUGUAACGGGGCUAAGUCAAUAACCGAAAGCGCGGAUUUGCAUGAAAAUGCAAGUGGUAGGGGAGCGUUCUGUAAGCCUGCGAAGGUGGUUCGAGAGGACUGCUGGAGGUAUCAGAAGUGCGAAUGCUGACAUGAGUAACGUUAAAGCGGGUGAAAAGCCCGCUCGCCGUAAGCCCAAGGUUUCCUGCUCUACGUUCAUCGGAGCAGGGUGAGUCGGCCCCUAAGGCCAGGCUGAGAAGCGUAGUCGAUGGGAAGCAGAUUAAUAUUUCUGCACCAUGUGCAAGUGCGAUGGGGGGACGGAGUGCGAAAGAUCAUCCGGGUGUUGGAUGUCCCGGUUUGUGAGUGUAGAAGGCCGACAGGCAAAUCCGUCGGCAGAUCUUCGAGACAAAGCAUCGAGGUUCUACGGAACCGAAGUGAUCGGAAGUGCUUCCAGGAAAAGCCUCUAAGCUCCAGCUUGCAUGUGACCGUACCGUAAACCGACACUGGUGGGCGAGUUGAAUAUACUCAGGCGCUUGAGAGAACUCGGGAGAAGGAACUCGGCAAAUUGACACCGUAACUUCGGGAUAAGGUGUGCCUUUGUAGCGUGAAGAGAGAAACGCUCGGAGCGUGAAGAGGCCUCAGAGAAUCGGUGGCUGCAACUGUUUAUUAAAAACACAGCACUCUGCAAAGACGAAAGUCGACGUAUAGGGUGUGAUGCCUGCCCGGUGCUGGAAGAUUAAGUGAUGGGGUGAGAGCUCCUGAUCGAAGUCCCAGUAAACGGCGGCCGUAACUAUAACGGUCCUAAGGUAGCGAAAUUCCUUGUCGGGUAAGUUCCGACCUGCACGA
This 1951-nucleotide ribosomal RNA is filed under the name human gut metagenome. RNAcentral's name for it is "bacterial LSU rRNA". It matches the Rfam family "Bacterial large subunit ribosomal RNA", at positions 3 to 1995 of the family's 2925-position model. The record is from RNAcentral.